GGUUAAGUGACUAAGCGUACAUGGUGGAUGCCUUGGCAGUCAGAGGCGAUGAAGGACGUACUAACCUGCGAUAAGCCGUGAGCAGUCGGUAAGAGACAUUACGACUCACGGAUUUCCGAAUGGGGAAACCCACUUAGCAUAAGCUAGGUAUCGCUGCGUGAAUACAUAGCGUAGCGAGGCGAACCGGGAGAACUGAAACAUCUAAGUACCCCGAGGAAAAGAAAUCAACCGAGAUUCCCUCAGUAGCGGCGAGCGAACGGGGAUUAGCCCUUAAGCGUCUUGGAAGUUAGUGGAACGGUCCUGGAAAGGCCGGCGAUACAGGGUGAUAGCCCCGUACACGAAAACAACCUUGAUGUGAAAUCGAGUAGGGCGGGACACGUGACAUCCUGUCUGAAUAUGGGGGGACCAUCCUCCAAGGCUAAAUACUCCUGACUGACCGAUAGUGAACCAGUACCGUGAGGGAAAGGCGAAAAGAACCCCUGUGAGGGGAGUGAAAUAGAACCUGAAACCGUGUACGUACAAGCAGUGGGA
Molecule: ribosomal RNA, 531 nt
Filed under: Aeromonas caviae
Lineage: Bacteria; Pseudomonadati; Pseudomonadota; Gammaproteobacteria; Aeromonadales; Aeromonadaceae
Description: partial 23S ribosomal RNA
Rfam family: Bacterial large subunit ribosomal RNA
Source: RNAcentral